GAAUCCCGUCUUUGGCAUGGAUGACCGGGGCUUUUGUGAUGCGCUCUCGAAGAGUCGAGUUGUUUGGGAAUGCAGCUCAAAAUGGGUGGUGAACUCCAUCUAAAGCUAAAUAUUGGCGAGAGACCGAUAGCGAACAAGUACCGUGAGGGAAAGAUGAAAAGCACUUUGGAAAGAGAGUGAAACAGUACGUGAAAUUGUUGAAAGGGAAACGCUUGAAGUCAGUCGCGUCGGCCGAGACUCAGCCUUGCCUCGGCUUGGUGUACUUCUCGGCUGACGGGUCAGCAUCAAUUUUGCCCCUUGGAUAAUGGCGAGGGAAAUGUGACACCUUUACGGUGUGUUAUAGUCUCUCGUCGCAUGCAAGGGUUGGGAUUGAGGAACUCAGCACGCACCUUUGGGUGUCGGGGCUUUGCCCACGAUACGUGCUUAGGAUGUUGGCGUAAUGGCUUUAAACGACCCGUCUUGAAACACGGACCAAGGAGUCUAACAUGCCUGCGAGUGUUCGGGUGGAAAACUCGUGCGCGCAAUGAAAGUGAAAGUUGGGACCUCUGUCGUGGAGGGCACCGACGCCCGGACCAGACCUUCUGUGACGGCUCUGCGGUAAAGCAUGUAUGUUAGGACCCGAAAGAUGGUGAACUAUGCCUGAAUAGGGUGAAGCCAGAGGAAACUCUGGUGGAGGCUCGUAGCGAUUCUGACGUGCAAAUCGAUCGUCAAAUUUGGGUAUAGGGGCGAAAGACUAAUCGAACCAUCUAGUAGCUGGUUCCUGCC
RNAcentral lists this ribosomal RNA (765 nucleotides) under uncultured Russula. RNAcentral describes it as "partial 28S ribosomal RNA". It matches the Rfam family "Eukaryotic large subunit ribosomal RNA", at positions 216 to 962 of the family's 3401-position model. The record is from RNAcentral. Lineage: Eukaryota; Fungi; Basidiomycota; Agaricomycetes; Russulales; Russulaceae.